CAGUCGCCGCGGUAAUACGAGGGGGGCAGGCGUUGUUCGGAAUUAUUGGGCGUAAAGGGCGCGUAGGCGGUUUGGCAAGUUUGGUGUGAAAUCUUCGGGCUCAACUCGAAGUCUGCAUCGAAAACUGCCGGGCUUGAGUAUGGGAGAGGUGAGUGGAAUUUCCGGUGUAGCGGUGAUAUGCGUAGAUAUCGGAAGGAACACCUGUGGCGAAAGCGGCUCACUGGACCAUAACUGACGCUGAGGCGCGAAAGCUAGGGGAGCAAACAGGAUUAGAUACCCCCGUAGUCCCUGUCUCUUAUAC
This 301-nucleotide ribosomal RNA is filed under the name uncultured bacterium. Its description in RNAcentral is "partial 16S ribosomal RNA". It matches the Rfam family "Bacterial small subunit ribosomal RNA", at positions 509 to 807 of the family's 1533-position model. The record is from RNAcentral.